UUAGCUUCCGAUAUUCUUUAUUAUGUUAUUGCGUUCCUUCUGCUUUCUUUUUUGGAUGAAUUUUUCUCUCAACUUAGCUUCCCAUAUUCCUUAUUAUGUGUAUUGUGUUUCUUCCGUUUCAUGUUUUUUGGGUGGGUUUUUCGCCUUCACGCAGAGUUACAACAUAAUUCCUGCCACUAUUUACUAUACUUGCAUGCAAACCAUCCACCGCACAGCUGUUGUAGCGGGAAAAAAUAUGAAAGAAGUCGGCCCAGGGCGAAAAUCGUGAGUGAAGUCGGCCCAGGUGUGACUGUAUCAUCGAAUGGCUGGGAUGACAGUGUGCAUGUCCCUACUUACAUCUAAUCCACUCACGCGCCGUCUGACAAAAAUUGCGAACGAAGUCGGCCCAGGUGGAAAAAUACAGAACGAUAAGGGCACGUGCAGUUCUCCGGCUCGCUGGUAGCCACGCGGACACCCCGCCCCGCCUCGCCUACUUGCAUGUAAACCACUCACGCAUCACCUGAAAAAAAAAUUGCGAACGAAGUCUGCCCAGGGUAAAAAAUCUCCAAAAAAGUCGGCCUGGUGUUGUCAUUGUGCAUGCCCCUCCUUGCAUGUAAACUGCCCACGCGCCACAUGAAAAAAAAAAGCGAACUAAGUCGACCCAGGCUGAAAAAUAGCCAAAGAAGUCGGCCCACGGUGCACAACCAUAAGUGUAAGCUCAGCUCUUCGGCCCACUGGUAAGCACACAGACAGCCCCUCACUUGUGCGCUGGAAAAAAAUUAAAAAAUCACCAACGAAGUCGGCCCAGGAUGAAAAAUGCACAACGAUAAGGGUGCACCGAGCCCGUCGACCCGCUGGUAAGCACCCGGACAGCCCCUCACCUGCACGCCACCCACCGCGCGCUUGUCUUUUUCAGUAUUUACUCCAAGUCCCGUUCUAUUUGAAGAAUGUAAGUGAUUAUAAUGCAUAUGGAAGAGGUGUUUAAAUUUGAUUUCUUGUUUCAGCUCCAGAGUCGUCGCCGCCAGUAUGUGUGUAUUAUCAGAAUUUUGUUUAAUUUGACGUUAAUAUAUGAGUCCGAUGACUUUGUUGGAUUGAAUGAUUAGUUAAUAUUAAUUGUUAGUAUCUUUUAAGCUUACACACCGGUGUCCGACGAUAGUAGUAAAUUUUUGAUUCGCAACGUAGUUCUUUUUUCUCACGAAUAUUGUCUUUUUCAGUAUUCGCUACAAGCCCCUUUUCAUUUGAAGAGAGUAAGGAAAUAUAAUGAAUAUGAAAAAAGUGUUAAACUUUGAUUUCUUGUUUCAGCUCCAGAGUCGCCUCCCCCGUUAUGUAUGUAUUAUUGGAAUAUAAUUGCGUAUGUUUAGUUAUAAUUAAUUGUUAAUAUCUUUUUCAGCUUACACACCUGUACCGCAGCCAACCCAGCCGCCAACCGCAGAAUAUCAUUGGAGUCCGACACAGGAAUGUAUGUAUUAUUAUAAAACGAGUAUGGAUGUUGAUAAUGUGACUAUCUUUUCAGAUUACCCAACGUUGGAUCCAGUGAAUUGUAUGUAUUAUUGAAAUGAAUAAGUUUAUAUUAAUUUAGAUUCACUUACAGAUUACUGGAGUCCGCCGCCACCACACUGUCAGUGUUGUGCCCAACGUGAGUUAUCAUGUGGUCGUGAAGGUUUUUCGGUUGGGUUUUUCUCCUUCACAUGGUUGGCAUCACGAUUGGCACAAUUCCCAGCACUAUUGGCUUUAAUAAAUAUAUUUCAACUUGAUUGGCAUUACAAUUGGCAUUAAUAAAUAUAUUUUCACUUGUACCUUUUGUGUAUGACUCCUCUUUGCAUGUCUAUGCAUGUUAUAAGCGCGCGGACAACCCUCCGCACACGCGCCGCCCGCCGCGCGCGGGAAAAAAUCGCGAAAAAAAGUCGUCCCAGACGCUGUGGGGGUUCGAACCAGGCACCUAGAGGAACUAACUCUCAUAAGUCCUAUACUACUAACAUCCACAGCAGCAGAGCAACAUGCAGUUUUGAAAGCUCUACGCCACAUCAGAAAAUCGCAAGCCGGGGCAUGGGUAGCGUCCUCCAACUCCAUAGCGGCCCUCUACUCCAUCCAAAAGCAGGACCCACAGGACCGUAUUGUCUACAACAUCGUGAAGGCGCACAGCAAAGCCGAAGCCUUAGGACGCAAUACUUAUCUUCCAAUCCCUCGCCAUGUUCCCUCCCUCGGAACCGCACGGGGCCCCAGUUCGUCUAAUGUAUGUGUUAGGCAGUCCCAUUUCGUUUACUGAGGCGUAUAUAGGUAUGAUGUGAAGAAUAAAGGUGCGUCUCCUUUUCCGUUGCACCUGGUGCUUGACCAUCACUGGAAAUCGCAUUUUAAGCAAAAUGCCUGUUUUUCCUGCACUCCUAUCGUGCCUACCUCACCUACAAAUACUAAAACACAUUCGCAAUGUUGAAAAAGGAGGUUGUAUUUUACCUUCAAGGUUUUCAGUCGCGAAGCACGAAGCCAGAAGAAAUUGAACACGUUUUUAAAGGGUAACGAGCGUAUAUAGUUCAACGGCAAUGAUCAGUUAAAGUGUUGUCACAGUUCCCUCUGAUGCUCAGGAUGCAUACAACUGUCCCCCAGUACCCCACUGCUUCCUGUUGUUCUCUCUCCACCUGUCCAUUAUUGUCUUUGUCCUUGUCUCCACCUGUAUUAUUGAAAUGCAAGUGUGGUUUCAUAUAAUAACAAUAGCCGCUUUUUCAGGUCAGUGUUAUGCCCAACGUGAGUUAUAGUGUGGUGAGAAAAUGUGAUGAUGUUGAUUUUAUGUUUUCUUUCAAGGUCGGAAAUGAAGGAAUUCAUUUAAAAUGUUAUUGAGGACACAUUAAAAGAAAUAUUUGGAGAUUAAUAAAUGCAUAUAUUCUUUACAUGUACUGUCUUGUGUUUCUUCUGUUACAGGUCGUGAAGGUUUUUCGGCUGGAUUUUUCUCCUUCACCUGAUUGGCAUCACAAUUGGCACAAUUCCCAGCACUGUUGGUUUUAAUAAAUAUAUUUCAACUUGAUUGGCAUUACAAUUGGCAUUAAUAAAUAUAUUUUCACUUGUA
Molecule: long non-coding RNA, 3037 nt
Organism: Ornithodoros turicata
Lineage: Eukaryota; Metazoa; Arthropoda; Arachnida; Ixodida; Argasidae
Exons: 4
Source: RefSeq, a predicted model, not a curated record